RNAcentral lists this ribosomal RNA (467 nucleotides) under uncultured bacterium. RNAcentral's name for it is "partial 16S ribosomal RNA". It matches the Rfam family "Bacterial small subunit ribosomal RNA", at positions 28 to 506 of the family's 1533-position model. The record is from RNAcentral.
GACGAACGCUGGCGGCGUGCUUAACACAUGCAAGUCGAACGGAAAGGCCCUGCUUUUGUGGGGUGCUCGAGUGGCGAACGGGUGAGUAACACGUGAGUAACCUGCCCUUGACUUUGGGAUAACUUCAGGAAACUGGGGCUAAUACCGGAUAGGAGCUCCUGCUGCAUGGUGGGGGUUGGAAAGUUUCGGCGGUUGGGGAUGGACUCGCGGCUUAUCAGCUUGUUGGUGGGGUAGUGGCUUACCAAGGCUUUGACGGGUAGCCGGCCUGAGAGGGUGACCGGCCACAUGGGGACUGGGAUAGGGCCCAGACUCCAACGGGAGGCAGCAGUGGGGAAUAUUGCACAAUGGGCGGAAGCCUGAUGCAGCAACGCCGCGGGCGGGAUGACGGCCUUCGGGUUGUAAACCGCUUUCGCCGGUGACGAAGCGUGAGUGACGGUAAUGGGUAAAGAAGCACCGGCUAACUACGU